Unclassified non-coding RNA from Bison bison bison, 301 nucleotides. Its record names the gene 7SK. It matches the Rfam family "7SK RNA". From Rfam's summary of the family: 7SK was discovered as an abundant small nuclear RNA in the mid-70s but a possible function has only recently been suggested. The record is from Ensembl. NCBI's taxonomy places the organism in Eukaryota, Metazoa, Chordata, Mammalia, Artiodactyla, Bovidae.
GCAUGUCAGGACAAGCUGGCGGUGGCAUCUGUUACUCUAUUGAUCGUUUCUUCAAAAGCUUUGGCCAGUUGAGUGGGUGUCUCCUUUCUCUUCACCUAUCUACAUGUGUUCCCCUAAGGCUACAUUCCAGCUGAAGACACAGGAGGUUUGAAAUUGAAGGAGUAGCAUUCUUCAAUGCCAGGACAUUAUAAGCAAACUUUCUAUCAUUACUGCUGGAAGAACCAAACAGAGGUCAGUUUAGUGAGGCUAGGAGGGACUUCUGUCCAGAAGGAAAAAAUAUCAGUUAGUAAAUGCACUAAAG